Numida meleagris (helmeted guineafowl) is the source of this 727-nucleotide long non-coding RNA. RefSeq lists it as uncharacterized. The record is from RefSeq and is a predicted model, not a curated record. The transcript has 4 exons. Lineage: Eukaryota; Metazoa; Chordata; Aves; Galliformes; Numididae.
GGGGGGAUUUUUUUGUCUGCUUGAGGCUUUCUAAGGCUUUGGCCACAAAAAGAGAGAUACGGGAAAAGGUAGAUACAGAUAUUCGUUCAUCCAGAGAAGAGCACAGAUCCUGUUUCCCUCCUUGUAAAAGAGGUCCUCCAUACCUCAUUUCACAAUUCCCUCCUGAAUAGGUAAUAACAGCCCUGACAGAGUGACCAGCCCAGACCACACAUGCUCAAGCCUAAAGAGGUGAAGGCUCCUCAAAGGCUGCAGUUGUCUUUUCUUCUCUUGCUACAGUCAUUGUGCAGCAGAAAAUUGGGAUGAAGCUGAAAUAUGACAACACCCUGGCAAGACUCCAACCAUGACUGGGCAUUUCAAUGAGUUACAAGCACAAGCAGAGUUACAGCACUAAAUAUCUAAAGUUCAUUUUGAAAUGAAGUCUCUGGAAACAUAUGAACUCUUAUGGUGUGAGGCAUUAUCUAACCUCUAAUUACAGAGGGAAUGGGAGGAAUGGAAACUCUUCUGAGAUAAGGGGUAACCUUACUGCUUGUUGUGGGGUUUCUUGGAACAUCCCUUAACAGCCCUGCUCUGGUCAUUGUCAAAUGCCUGGGCUAGAAGGCUCACUGGUCUGAGCGAGACUAGAUGUUCCUCAAUUCCUAGAAAAGCAAUUGUAACUUAUAUUCUGAUUUCUAUAAACAUUGAUUUUCUCAAUGAAAAUACAGAAAUAUAUGAUUAGGUAUAUGAGAUG